CAAAGCUGUCAUAUGUUGCUACAAAUUACCUGGUCUAACAUGACAGAAAUUUAUUGUUUCAGAGUCCUGAAGGCUGGAAGCCAGAAGUGGAAGUUUUGACAGAGCCACAUUCCCUCUUCAGCCUCUGGCAGGGACACUCCUCAUUUCCUCCAGUGUUUGGUUGUUCUGGGGCUGCACCAUCCUGAUGAAGAGUUCUCAGGAGGUGGUAUGUUCAAGCUGCCCCAAACAGGAAGGGCCACCUGGAAGCUGAAAAGCAAUCCGUGUCCACCCGGACACUAAGUCCUCAGAGCCUUGAUGACAUCCAUCCUGUGUGGGGAAAAAAGAAUCCAGACUCUGCUUCCUCCCCAGCUCCUCCUAACACACUCUCUCACCACCUCCCAAUCAAGGGUUAUCCUCUAAGACCCGCUUUCUAAGCUUCAGGACCUAAUUAGCGGUUUGAAAAACUGGUAUCAAAAGUACCCAGGAUCAUUUUUAUGGCCCUUUGUGAAUAAGAAAACAAUGCCGACAAGUCAAUAUUAUGCGCAAACGGCAGUAAAGUCCCCCUAAAUG
Long non-coding RNA from Chinchilla lanigera (long-tailed chinchilla), 549 nucleotides. RefSeq lists it as uncharacterized. Lineage: Eukaryota; Metazoa; Chordata; Mammalia; Rodentia; Chinchillidae. The transcript is spliced from 2 exons. The record is from RefSeq and is a predicted model, not a curated record.